This 118-nucleotide ribosomal RNA is filed under the name Helianthus annuus (common sunflower). The record is from RNAcentral. Lineage: Eukaryota; Viridiplantae; Streptophyta; Magnoliopsida; Asterales; Asteraceae.
GGUUACGAUCAUACCAUCACUAAUGCACCGGAUCCCAUCAGAACUCCGCAGUUAAGCGUGCUUGGGCGAGAGUAGUACUAGGAUGGGUGACCCCUGGGAAGUCCUCGUGUCGCGACCC